Molecule: transfer RNA, 87 nt
Filed under: Bacteroidales bacterium
Lineage: Bacteria; Pseudomonadati; Bacteroidota; Bacteroidia; Bacteroidales
Description: tRNA-Ser
Rfam family: tRNA
About the family: Transfer RNA (tRNA) molecules are approximately 80 nucleotides in length. Their secondary structure includes four short double-helical elements and three loops (D, anti-codon, and T loops).
Source: RNAcentral
GGUGAGGUGGGUGAGUGGCUGAAACCACCAGUUUGCUAAACUGACGUACGGGUAACCGUACCACGAGUUCGAAUCUCGUCCUCACCG